CUUUAUUAUGGAAGACUGACAGCUUAAAUUGAGACAUGGUUGGUGGCAUCCCUAACAAUUCAUAGAUCUCAACUGAAGAAGUGGAUGGAGAGCCCCUUCUCGACCAGUUUAGUUGUCUUGCUGGUCUUAGUUGCUUCCUUGUACACCAUGGAAGGACGGUUUCUUGAUGGAGAUGCGAAGGCAAGGGCUUUAGGAGGAAGAGCUAGUGAUCCACCUCCCUCUCCUGUGCCAAAUCCGUGGAAACGCUUUCCACCAAAUGUAUCAUCGCAUGGUUAAAGCCAUGGAUCCAAGAGAUAGACCGAGUUGGUCCUUGUACAUGCAUUAUUUAUGGGGAGAGAGAAAAGGAGGGUUAAUCUAAGAAAUAUUUGUUUGAUGAAAUAUUAAUGAUUGUUCCUUCCCCUCUAUUGCAGUCAAUUUGUGUUUAAAGGAUAAAAUCUUAAGCUUUUGUGGCUAUUUUUAUUGUAUACUUGUAUCUUCUUCCGUUUUAUAAUUUGAAUCUUUGUACUUGGGUCCA
Non-coding RNA from Elaeis guineensis (African oil palm), 514 nucleotides. The record is from RefSeq and is a predicted model, not a curated record. NCBI's taxonomy places the organism in Eukaryota, Viridiplantae, Streptophyta, Magnoliopsida, Arecales, Arecaceae.